Molecule: ribosomal RNA, 253 nt
Filed under: uncultured bacterium
Lineage: Bacteria
Description: partial 16S ribosomal RNA
Rfam family: Bacterial small subunit ribosomal RNA
Source: RNAcentral
UACGUAGGGUGCAAGCGUUAAUCGGAAUCACUGGGCUUAAAGGGCGCGUAGGCGGGCAAGCAAGUCGAAGGUGAAAUCCCACGGCUCAACCGUGGAAGUGCCCCCGAUACUGCUUGUCUUGAGGGAGAUAGGGGCGUGCGGAACUUCCGGUGGAGCGGUGAAAUGCGUAGAUAUCGGAAGGAACACCGGUGGCGAAAGCGGCGCGCUGGAUCUCUUCUGACGCUGAGGCGCGAAAGCCAGGGGAGCAAACGGG